This is a long non-coding RNA of Syngnathoides biaculeatus (alligator pipefish), 373 nucleotides long. RefSeq lists it as uncharacterized. The record is from RefSeq and is a predicted model, not a curated record. NCBI's taxonomy places the organism in Eukaryota, Metazoa, Chordata, Actinopteri, Syngnathiformes, Syngnathidae. The transcript is spliced from 3 exons.
UUUUUUUUUUUGCACCAUGCAGUAUAAGAGUCGAGCAAUUUAAGAUACAGUACCUUCAAAUUUGUUCAUGACACCGCAGAGAAAGCACGGACCCCAAGACUGAUCCAUGAGGGCCCAUAAAUGGGAACCUGUUGUGGUCAUUUAUCCACAACAUUUCAAAAUGCUUCAAACCACCACUACUCCAAAAUAAUCUUUCAUGUGGAUGGAGCCAGGGACUGUAUUCUGACCCAAUAGAAAAGCAGAUGGCUUUGAAGAAGUGGCAGUGGCACGAGGAACACGGCUCACAACAGCCUUGAUUUGGCAAACAGCUUUGUCCCAGCUGGGAACAUGUUGCAGAAGCAGGUUUUGGUGCCUUGGUCGAAGAGUUCUUUGG